CGUUGAACCGUAGCAGACAAACGACCUUGUUAUUAACUGCCAUGUAGUUUCAUACUUUCGCCGAUCAAAUACAUUCUUGGAAACAAACUGAUAUGCGACUGCAAUCUAGCGUGGAUUUGGGGACUAAGGAACGAGACGAAGAAUACAAAGUUAAAGGAUGCCCUCGAGGAACUCACUUGCUUCCUCGAAAGUAAUAAUACUGCAGCACCUAAGAUCAACAAUGACGACCUAGAGAGAAAUCAGGAGCACGAAAUCGCGCGAAAUCCUGAUACAUAUUUGGCUGAUAAUCUGAAGAAUGGAAAUAACGAAGACGAGGAAAGUUAUUUAAGUGACAUUGCUAAUGAAAAUUAUGAUAAUUUGGGUGAAGAAUAUGAGGAUUCCGAAUUGGAUAGUAAUUCUCAGCCUAAGAUGCAGAUAUUGGAUGGGAAGGUGUGCUACGUGAAACAUUUGUUCGAUCUAAAGUUAGAAGAUCUACCAUGCCCGGAGACCACAAGGGAGGAUCUAAUGGCUUCUGAACAGCCAUCUAGCCGUCACGAAAAUGCACCAGUGGGUUCCUCCGGUUCCAUAUGGUUCUCAUCAUCAACCCAGACUCAUCACCGAGUCGACCGAUUCGUCCUUGCGAGUUCAUUUCUAAUUGUAUUUCCUUUUUCAACGUUGAUAUUCACGUAGAAGGAAGAUAACAACAACAGCAAGUGUUUACGUCAAUACAAUGAUAAUAAGAGUAUCAAGGAGUGGAUGAGAAAAAAAAUUAACGAAAAAUACGACGAUGACGGCAAUGACGACGACGACGACGACGACGAUUAAAACGACGACGACGACAAU
Molecule: long non-coding RNA, 822 nt
Organism: Vespa mandarinia (Asian giant hornet)
Lineage: Eukaryota; Metazoa; Arthropoda; Insecta; Hymenoptera; Vespidae
Gene: Con
Source: RefSeq, a predicted model, not a curated record